CCCUUAGACGUUCUGGGCCGCACGCGCGCUACACUGACCAGUGCAACAAGCAUCCGUCCUUGGCCGACAGGCCCGGGCAAUCUUUGAACGCUGGUCGUGAUGGGGAUAGACUUUUGCAAUUUUUGGUCUUCAACGAGGAAUUCCUAGUAAACGCAAGUCAUCAACUUGCAUUGAUUACGUCCCUGCCCUUUGUACACACCGCCCGUCGCACCUACCGAUUGAACGGUCCGGUGAAGCCUCCGGAUUGGCGCGCACCUCGGUGCCGCCGAGAAGUUGGCUAAACCUUACCAUUUAGAGGAAGGUGAAGUCGUAACA
This 315-nucleotide ribosomal RNA is filed under the name uncultured eukaryote. Its description in RNAcentral is "partial 18S ribosomal RNA". It matches the Rfam family "Eukaryotic small subunit ribosomal RNA", at positions 1470 to 1796 of the family's 1831-position model. The record is from RNAcentral.